UUCCGGUUGAUCCCGCCGGACCCGACUGCUAUUUGGGUGAGAAUAAGCCAUGCGAGUUGAAUGGGAUACCUAAAGUUCCCAUAGCAAACUGCUCAGUAACACAUGAUCAACUUACCCUAUAGAGAAAAAUAACCUCGGGAAACUGAGGAUAAUGUUUCACAAUUGAAUUGGCUUGGAAAAGUUUUUCAAUGAAAAGGAUAAAAAAAAUGGUUUUUAUCUGCUAUAGGAUAGGAUCGUGUUCGAUUAUGGUUGUUGGUGAGAUAAUGGCUCACCAAGCCGAUAAUCGAUAGGGGCCGUGAGAGCGGGAGCCCCGAGAUGGGUACUGAGACAACGACCCAGGCCUUACGAGGCGCAGCAGGCGCGGAACCUCCGCAAUACACGAAAGUGUGACGGGGUUACCCAAAGUGUUCAAUAGAACUGUGGUAGGUGAGUAAUGUCCCCUACUAGAAAGGAGAGGGCAAGGCUGGUGCCAGCCGCCGCGGUAAAACCAGCUCUUCAAGUGGUCGGGAUAAUUAUUGGGCUUAAAGUGUCCGUAGCCGGUUUAGUAAGUUCCUGGUAAAAUCGGGUAGCUUAACUAUCUGCAUGCUAGGAAUACUGCUAUACUAGAGGGCGGGAGAGGUCUGAGGUACUACAGGGGUAGGGGUGAAAUCUUAUAAUCCUUGUAGGACCACCAGUGGCGAAGGCGUCAGACUGGAACGCGCCUGACGGUGAGGGACGAAAGCCAGGGGAGCGAACCGGAUUAGAUACCCGGGUAGCCCUGGCCGUAAACGAUGCAUACUAGGUGAUGGUACGGCCAUGAGCCGUAUCAGUGCCGUAGGGAAACCGUUAAGUGUGCCGCCUGGGAAGUACGGUCGCAAGGCUAAAACUUAAAGGAAUUGGCGGGGGAGCACCACAAGGGGUGAAGCCUGCGGUUCAAUUGGAUUCAACGCCGGGAAUCACUAGUGCGGCCG
This 950-nucleotide ribosomal RNA is filed under the name uncultured archaeon. RNAcentral describes it as "partial 16S rRNA". It matches the Rfam family "Archaeal small subunit ribosomal RNA", at positions 1 to 941 of the family's 1478-position model. The record is from RNAcentral.